This is a long non-coding RNA of Folsomia candida, 502 nucleotides long. RefSeq lists it as uncharacterized. The transcript is spliced from 2 exons. The record is from RefSeq and is a predicted model, not a curated record. NCBI's taxonomy places the organism in Eukaryota, Metazoa, Arthropoda, Collembola, Entomobryomorpha, Isotomidae.
CAUACCUACAUAUUCUCAACUGAAAAAGAAGCAAGAAAAUAAAUUAUUCGAAUAAAAAACAUUUUGAAAAAAGCGUACUCAAUUUUUACGAAGAACUUAAAAUCAACCAAAUUUUAAGAUGGGUUUAAAGUAAACUGGGCCACUUUUCUUCUCCACUUUGAUCUUCUUAGUUGUCAUUAUGUCCACAAUUUCGGAAUCAAUGGGUCAGGACGCUUGCGAUCGUUGCCGCACGACUUGCGUGGAGACUGGGACAAAAGGGGUGGGGUGCACGAGUUAUUUGUGCUUCUUCAGUUUUUGCAAGUGUCUGGGGAAAAAGGAUUGCGAUCUUCGAUUUUUCGCACCAAAAAAUUUUGUUAAGAAAUAAGGUUAAGAAUUUUGUUAAGAAUUUGAUUUCAAAAUUGUAUGGGUAUGGUCAAUAUUUAUGUAAAUUGUAUGGGAAACGAUUGUCAUUCGUUACUACGAUUGAGAAUGAUUAAAUAAAUUAUGGGUUGGGUUAAAUUUA